CCUACGGGAGGCAGCAGUAAGGAAUAUUGGGCAAUGGAGGCAACUCUGACCCAGCCAUGCCGCGUGAAGGAUGACUGCCCUAUGGGUUGUAAACUUCUUUUGUAUGGGAAUAAACUCUCGUUCGUGAACGAGACUGAAUGUACCAUAAGAAUAAGCACCGGCUAACUCCGUGCCAGUAGCCGCGGUAAUACGGAGGGUGCAAGCGUUAUCCGGAUUUAUUGGGUUUAAAGGGUGCGUAGGCGGGAUUGUAAGUCAGUGGUGAAAUCUUCCGGCUCAACCGGAAAACUGCCAUUGAUACUGCAGACCUAGAGUACAUUUGAAGUGGGCGGAAUGUGUCAUGUAGCGGUGAAAUGCUUAGAGAUGACACAGAACACCGAUUGCGUAGGCAGCUCACUAAACUGUAACUGACGCUGAGGCACGAAAGCGUGGGGAUCAAACAGGAUUAGAUACCCUGGUAGUCCACGCCGUAAACUAUGAUUACUCGAUGUUGGCGAUACACUGUCAGCGUCUGAGCGAAAGCAUUAAGUAAUCCACCUGGGGAGUACGGUCGCAAGACUGAAACUCAAAUGAAUUGACGGCUGGAGAGNGCGAGGACGACGACGAGGGGAGGAG
This 612-nucleotide ribosomal RNA is filed under the name uncultured bacterium. Its description in RNAcentral is "bacterial SSU rRNA". It matches the Rfam family "Bacterial small subunit ribosomal RNA", at positions 338 to 949 of the family's 1533-position model. The record is from RNAcentral.